Suricata suricatta (meerkat) is the source of this 391-nucleotide long non-coding RNA. RefSeq lists it as uncharacterized. The transcript is spliced from 3 exons. The record is from RefSeq and is a predicted model, not a curated record. Lineage: Eukaryota; Metazoa; Chordata; Mammalia; Carnivora; Herpestidae.
UAUGCCUCAGAGAGUCUAUGAAUGGAUAAAGAAAACAUGGUAUAUACUUACAACGGCAUAUCAUUCAGUCUUACCAAAGAAGCAAAUCUUGCCACAUGUGCGACCAUGAAUGAACCUGGAGGACAUUAUGCUACGUGAAGCAACCCAGUGACAGAAGGUCAAAUACUGCAUGACUCCAUUAAAUGAGGUGAGAAAGCACCGAUCCUUGAAAUUAUGGGGAACCAGCCAAAGUAUGAAGUGGAUACACAGAAGAUAAAACUGAUAAAAUAUUCAUGUUUCUUCUGGAAUUGCUUCAGUCACAUGAGUAAACAAGUACCCUUUACUUUUUAGGCCAGGCUGAGUUGAAAUUAUAUUAUUUGCAACCAAACCAUUCUUCUAAAAUAGAACAAAA